This 369-nucleotide ribosomal RNA is filed under the name uncultured bacterium. RNAcentral's name for it is "bacterial SSU rRNA". It matches the Rfam family "Bacterial small subunit ribosomal RNA", at positions 794 to 1162 of the family's 1533-position model. The record is from RNAcentral.
UCCACGCAGUAAACGAUGAAUGUUAGUCGUCGGGGGCCUAGUGUCUUCGGUGAUGCAGCUAACGCAUUAAACAUUCCGCCUGGGGAGUACGGUCGCAAGAUUAAAACUCAAAGGAAUAGACGGGGACCCGCACAAGUGGUGGAGCAUGUGGUUUAAUUCGAAAAUACGCGAAGAACCUUACCUAGCCUUGACAUAUUUUAGAACUCCGUAGAGAUACAGAGGUGCCUUCGGGAGCUAAUUUACAGGUGCUGCACGGCUGUCGUCAGCUCGUGUCGUGAGAUGUUGGGUUAAGUCCCGCAACGAGCGCAACCCUCGUGCUUAGUUACUAACGGUUCGGCCGAGGACUCUAAGCAGACUGCCUUCGUAAGG